This is a long non-coding RNA of Pyrgilauda ruficollis (rufous-necked snowfinch), 863 nucleotides long. RefSeq lists it as uncharacterized. The record is from RefSeq and is a predicted model, not a curated record. NCBI's taxonomy places the organism in Eukaryota, Metazoa, Chordata, Aves, Passeriformes, Passeridae. The transcript has 2 exons.
GUACCCGAGAGAAUCAUCUACAACGGUGAUGUGAAAAUCCCUGUUACCUGAGGUCAAAAAUAAAAGUCUCCCAAGAAGACCCGGAGUGGUGAUGCCUGGAUGCAGAGGAGAUCACACUGCUUAUAGAUCUGCACCAUGAGGAGGCCAAAAGUUUCUGCAGCAGCAGGAGGUAAGACAGGACUGCUGGUGGGUGUAAGGAGCAGAAAGCAAAGCCACAUGAGUUUGAGAAGAAGGCAGCGGCACCCCUGAGGAUGGAGACUUUGGGGCAGUGUCACAGUCCUGUACAGAAACCUUGAAGAGACACUGAAAAAUUCAGGUGGGAGCACAUCACCCAACCAGCUGCUUGUGUGGUUUGGUCCAUGGACCUUUGGGGUUUGCACACCAGAGACUGAAAACUCUUGACUUACCCUAAAUUUCCUCUUUAUGGACUUCUGAUGUCAGAGGAAUGGCACAACAAAAUCCAAUAUAUUUUCUUCACCAUAGUGUUUCCAGCCUGCUAACUUUCCCAGGACUACUUUCUGCUCAAAUUACUGGAACUUAAUUACAUGAGGUUUAAUUUCAGUUGCUUGGCCAGCUUUAAAAAUAUGUAUUCAAAUUUUAACCACAAGGACAGAAUUUUGGGAGCCUCUUUGUCCUCUCACUUUGUGUUAAUUUAAAUGAGGAGACUGUGCCUGUGAAUCUCUGCUUUACUUCACCUAUUCCAAGUCAGUCUCAGCUCUGGAGAGACAUCCCUGACUCCCAGCAGUUUAAGGGAGAGCACAAACAACCCCUUAUGUUAUACUUUAUGUUUUUGAUACUGUGCAAACAGUAUAUGUUUGUCUCCUGCUUAUGAAUUUUCUUGUAAAUAAAAUGUAUUGAGACCA